UGAGGGCCCCUCUGCGUGUUCACAGCGGACCUUGAUUUAAUGUCUAUACAAUUAAGGCACGCGGUGAAUGCCAAGAGAGGCGCCUCC
Molecule: microRNA precursor, 87 nt
Organism: Gorilla gorilla gorilla (western lowland gorilla)
Lineage: Eukaryota; Metazoa; Chordata; Mammalia; Primates; Hominidae
Gene: MIR124-3
Product: microRNA 124-3
Source: Ensembl